CGAGUGAAGCGACAAAAGCUCAAAUUUGAAAUCUGGCACCUUCGGUGUCCGAGUUGUAAUUUGAAGAAGGUAACUUUGGAGUUGGCUCUUGUCUAUGUUCCUUGGAACAGGACGUCACAGAGGGUGAGAAUCCCGUGCGAUGAGAUGUCCAACUCUAUGUAAAGUGCUUUCGAAGAGUCGAGUUGUUUGGGAAUGCAGCUCUAAGUGGGUGGUAAAUUCCAUCUAAAGCUAAAUAUUGGCGAGAGACCGAUAGCGAACAAGUACAGUGAUGGAAAGAUGAAAAGAACUUUGAAAAGAGAGUGAAAAAGUACGUGAAAUUGUUGAAAGGGAAGGGUUUGAGAUCAGACUUGGUAUUUUGUAUGUCUUGCUUUCGGGUGGGGCCUCUGCAGUUUACUGGGCCAGCAUCGGUUUGGACGGUAGGAUAAUGACAUUGGAAUGUGGCACUACUUCGGUGGUGUGUUAUAGACUUUGUUGAUACUGCCUGUCUAGACCGAGGACUGCGUCUUUGACUAGGAUGCUGGCAUAAUGAUCCUAAACCGC
Molecule: ribosomal RNA, 540 nt
Filed under: Scheffersomyces cryptocercus
Lineage: Eukaryota; Fungi; Ascomycota; Pichiomycetes; Serinales; Debaryomycetaceae
Description: eukaryotic LSU rRNA
Rfam family: Eukaryotic large subunit ribosomal RNA
Source: RNAcentral